Molecule: long non-coding RNA, 3266 nt
Filed under: Homo sapiens (human)
Lineage: Eukaryota; Metazoa; Chordata; Mammalia; Primates; Hominidae
Description: HSALNT0350929
Source: RNAcentral
CUAUGCUUCAAAGUUGUUGAGACGGGUAACGUUAUGAGGUCUGCAUCUGCUAGUGUGGCAUUCACUGAUGUUGUUUAGCUUGCAAUAGGCCUCAGACCUACAAGCUUAUGGUAAAGCUUCUUACCAGGCUUAGCCUUUAAGUUCCUAAAUGUAUUUCUAGCGUUCCCUUUUUGGUAUACAAUAUUGAUGUUGUUUUGCUAGCCACACACUUAAUUGCUUUCCAAGUCUAUCUUUUCUUUAUAUUGUGCUGAGUACUGCCAUAAUAGAUUUUGCAUGUUGCAUAAAUUCACCAUGCCCAACCCAUGUACUACCACUUAUCCAGACUUUCAACACUUAAAAACUAUGGAGUUAGUAAUGUUUGUAUGGCAUCUAGAAGCUAAGCACAAACACCACAUCCAUACAGUAGAUUGAGGAAUAUUACCUGGGUAGACCCCACUUAAGUGACUCUUACACCCCCGGUAUGAGUAGUUGCUUGGAUUUUGCCCUGAUGUAUAUGCAUGUAAGUGCAACAUUAGAUGAGUAUACACAUAUAUAGACUGUUUCUAAUAAAACUGUCCAACAAUGGUUGACCCAUAAUGUGGAAAACACCCUCUUUCUUUUUUUUAAUUUAAUUUUACCUUAAGUUCCAGGAUACAAGUGCAGAACGUGUAGGAUUGUUACAUGGGUAUACAUGUGCCAUGGUGGUUUGCUGCACCUAUCAACCCGUCAUCUAAGUUUUAAGCCCUGCAUGCAUUAGCUAUUUGUCCUAAUGCUCUCCCUCCCCUCACCCCUCAUUCUGACUGGCCACGGUGUGUGUCGUUCCCCUCCCUGUGUCCAUGUGUUCUCAUUGUUCAGCUCCCAAUUAUGAGUGAGAACAUGUGGUGUUUGGUUUUCUAUUCCUGUCUUAGGUUGCUAAGGAUGAUGGCUUCCAGCUUCAUCCAUGUCCCUGCAAAGGACAUAAUCUUAUUCCUUUUUAUGGCUGCAUAGUAUUCCAUGGGAAAGCACCCUCUUUCUGAAUGCAUUUAAGAAUCAGUCGAGCAGGCUGCAAGGGAGACCUGCAGAGGGUGGAAAGUAGGACUGGAUGACCUUCAUGUCCCCUUCUUGUCUUUAAAUUACUAAGAUUCUAAGUCUUUGCUUGAUAAUCCAUUUAUCUUGAAUUCUCUUCCAACCUUCUUCUUAAAUCUUUGGCUUCCAAAAGUCACCUCAGACAUUGUCUUUCUCUUUCAGUGAUUCUUGUCUGACAUCGCUGUGUUUCUCCAAGGUGAAUCAGCUGUCCCAUCUCAGUGUCCUCAAUUAAGAUAGUAUAUACUACUAGCUUACAACAUGAGACACUUGUUUUAACUAAGAGUGAUUAAAUUUUUUUCUCUAAAAGUUACAUAAGUGCAUUGUAGAAAAAUUUAAAAAUAGAAACCAGAAUACCAACAAUUGAUACAAUAUUAAAUAGUAAAUAGAAUGUCCAGAUACUGUUCUGUUAAUGUUUACACCAAUCCUAUAGUAUAGGUACUAUUAUUCUAUUUUACAGGUGAGAAAACAGAUACAAGUUGAGUGUCUGUUUUACAGUAGCUUGGUCAGAAUGUCAUUAUUAUUAUUAUUAUUGUUCUUAUUGGUUAAUGGAUAGGUGAAAGUUGCAUUACGUUUUUGCUUUAACCAACUCUAUAUUAAUGAUUUAUUUACAUGUUCCUCAUCUCCUCUGAAGUCUUUAAGGGAAAGGAUGAUCUUGUCUCUGUGGCCCCAGCACUAAGAAGGGGGUCUAGUAUGAUAGCAGAUUUAAAAAAAUUAUUGAAAGGAUAUGCAAAAUCUUACCAUAUGAGUUCUUACAACUGCAUGUGGAUCUACCAUUAUCUUAACAUAAAAAGUUAAAGAAUAUUACUCUGCAUUGACAUAGCCCCAGUCCCCACUUUGAAGGAAAGAUAAUGAAUAACCUUUGAGGAACAGUGGCUGGGAUUUAUAGAGAUUUUCCUUGUUGACAGAGAUUUACAGGCAGCAUAGUACAGUACAAAGAACACUGGAAUGCAUACAAACUUGGUUUUGUAUUCUAGUUACAAAGUUUGGGCAAAUUACUUAGCCUCUUGUAGGUUCUGUUUUCGCAUCCAUAAAAUGGGUUACUGGAACAUCUGCUAAUAUAAAAAGAAUACUUCUCUAUUUUUCCCUGGUCUAUGCCUAAACCUUGGCACAUAAUAAGUACGCCUCAAAAGAUAGUCAUCUUUCCCUCAUCUAGCCACCUCCUACCCCAAUUCCUGACUCUCCACCUAUAACACACAAAUAAGUUCAUUUUUAUUACCUGUAGAGUUUCUUAGCACAGAAAUAAUGGUUACAUUCUUAGUCCACCAUUAACAUUAAUUCCUUUAUGUGAAGGCAGCACUGACUGAUAACAUUUUCUAUGUGGAUGGUAAUGUUCUUAUGGCUUAAAACAUGGCAAGUGCCACAGAGGAAUGGAAAUUUUAAAUUUGAUUUAAUUUUAAUUAAUAUAUAUUUAAUCAAUGUGUAUAUUAAUAUAAUUAAUUAAUAUAUAUAUAUUUUUGAGACAGGAUCUGGCUCUGUCACCCAUGCUGGAGUGCAGGGCACGAUCUUAGCUCACUGCAACCUCCACCUUCUGAACUCAAGCCAUCUUCCCACCUCAGCCUCCCAAGGAGCCAGGACUAUAGGUGUGGCCACCAUGCCUGGCUAAUUUUUUUUUUUUUUUUUUUUUGUAGAGAUUAGAUUUCACCAUGUUGUCCAGGCUGAUCUCAAACUCUUGAGCUGUAGCGAUCUACCUGCUUUGGACUCCCAGAAUGCUGGGACUACAGGCGUAAGCGCCCGCACCUGGCCUUAAUUAAUUUAUAUUUAAAUUUGAACAGUCACAUGUGGCUAGUGGCUACCAUGUUGGACAGGGCAGUGUUAAGCUAUCAGCUGCGUCCAGAUCCGUCUCUUUUAAGUACACAAGGUUCUUAAACCUCUUAAUCAAAUGAGUUUGCCAGCAUAAACUGGCCUGCUACUUCUGAGACUAAAAAGGAAUGUGACAGGGAGAAAGGAAUUUUGAUAAAAUGAAUAGGAUGAUGGGACAGGAUUGAGAAGCAUGAGCAAGUAGAGAGCAGGCUUGGGAUGGGGGCAUUUCAGAAUGGAUUCAGGAUGGCUUGGGGAGAAUAAUAUUGAAAGAGUCGAACUAAGGCAAAUCGUAGGAAUAGCAAGAGUACUGAAAAUAAACAACUUUACAAAUUUACCCAGACCUAGUUCUGAAAGGCAGAGGGAGAGAGGGAGGCAGAAGGGAACUUUGGCAUUUACUUGGGAAACUACAUUUCCUUUAGGGC